Molecule: ribosomal RNA, 253 nt
Filed under: uncultured bacterium
Lineage: Bacteria
Description: partial 16S ribosomal RNA
Rfam family: Bacterial small subunit ribosomal RNA
Source: RNAcentral
UACAGAGGUGGCAAGCGUUGUUCGGAUUUAUUGGGCGUAAAGGGUCCGUAGGCGGUUUGGAAAGUCGGGUGUGAAAGCCCACAGCUCAACUGUGGAACUGCACUCGAAACUUCCAGACUAGAGUAUGAGAGGGGUUAAGGGAAUUCCCGGUGUAAGGGUGAAAUCUGCAGAGAUCGGGAGGAACACCAGUCGCGAAGGCGCUUAACUGGCUCAUUACUGACGCUCAGGGACGAAAGCGAGGUUAGCAAACGGG